GAGGAGAACUCGUAUCUGUCCUGGCUGCGGUAGCCGCACACGUUGCACUCGAACGGGUCGCGGAACCCGUGGCAGCCCAUGUGGAUGGUGAACAUGACGUAAUCCAGGAACGGAAUCGAGUCAAUGACAGGCCGUGCACAACAGGGCAGGGAGGCACCGGCGUGCAACAGACCACAGACUGUGCAAGAAGAAAAAAUAGAUAAGCAUUGAGAACAUGAGAUGAAGAGUGCUUGAAAGCAUACUCAAUGAAUCCAUAACGGAAUAAUAACUACAACAGAAUCUGUGAAAGACGGCACCGACCUGACCGUUCAAUGAGAGUGCCGAAGACAACAAACUGCGCCAGUACAAACAGAAAAGAAAUAAUAGUAUGAAAUGAAAAAAUCAA
Long non-coding RNA from Mobula hypostoma (lesser devil ray), 385 nucleotides. RefSeq lists it as uncharacterized. Lineage: Eukaryota; Metazoa; Chordata; Chondrichthyes; Myliobatiformes; Myliobatidae. The record is from RefSeq and is a predicted model, not a curated record. The transcript is spliced from 3 exons.